This 402-nucleotide transfer-messenger RNA is filed under the name Flavobacteriaceae. RNAcentral describes it as "Gillisia sp900104765 Standard tmRNA". It matches the Rfam family "transfer-messenger RNA". From Rfam's summary of the family: Bacterial tmRNA, also known as 10Sa RNA or SsrA, is named for its dual tRNA and mRNA-like properties. The record is from RNAcentral. Lineage: Bacteria; Pseudomonadati; Bacteroidota; Flavobacteriia; Flavobacteriales. RNAcentral also lists the same sequence under 1 other name.
GGGGUCGACUUGGAUUUGACAGCGAGUCUAAUUGGAUAGUAAGCACGUCGAGCGCUGGGAUAUAGCUCGUAAAUCUCAUAUUUCACACUUUUUUAAACGGCGAGAAUAACUACGCCUUGGCUGCAUAAUCCGAAUUACAGUAGGAUUAUCUUCAUCCCUACAAGGUAGGGAGCCGAGAUGCCUCGUGAAAGCCUUGAUUUACGGCGUUCACACCAGAGGUAUCGAUAAAGUAAAUAUAGGAAUUAUAGGGUCUUGAUGUAAUUCUGAAGCUCAAAUGAGAAUACGUGUAAGGUUGGUGGUUUUCAGCCGGUCUUGCAUCGACAAUUAAGUGAAAAAUAAGCGUGUAGAAAGCUAUGUUAAUUGCUUGUUUGGACGAGGGUUCGAAACCCUCCGACUCCACCA